GGGGUUGUGGCUCAGUGGUAGAGUGCUCACCUAGCAUGUGUGAAGCACCGAGUUCAAUCCUCAGCACCGCA
This 71-nucleotide transfer RNA is filed under the name Marmota monax (woodchuck). RNAcentral's name for it is "tRNA.Ala". It matches the Rfam family "tRNA". Rfam says of the family: Transfer RNA (tRNA) molecules are approximately 80 nucleotides in length. Their secondary structure includes four short double-helical elements and three loops (D, anti-codon, and T loops). Further hydrogen bonds mediate the characteristic L-shaped molecular structure. tRNAs have two regions of fundamental functional importance: the anti-codon, which is responsible for specific mRNA codon recognition, and the 3' end, to which the tRNAs corresponding amino acid is attached (by aminoacyl-tRNA synthetases). tRNAs cope with the degeneracy of the genetic code in two manners: having more than one tRNA (with a specific anti-codon) for a particular amino acid; and 'wobble' base-pairing, i.e. permitting non-standard base-pairing at the 3rd anti-codon position. Lineage: Eukaryota; Metazoa; Chordata; Mammalia; Rodentia; Sciuridae. The record is from RNAcentral.